GUGGUGAAUAUUGGACAAUGGGCGCAAGCCUGAUCCAGCCAUGCCGCGUGAGUGAUGAAGGCCUUAGGGUUGUAAAGCUCUUUCAGUAGGGAAGAUAAUGACGGUACCUACAGAAGAAGCCCCGGCUAACUUCGUGCCAGCAGCCGCGGUAAUACGAAGGGGGCUAGCGUUGUUCGGAUUUACUGGGCGUAAAGCGCACGUAGGCGGAUUGGUCAGUUAGAGGUGAAAUCCCGAAGCUCAACUUCGGAACUGCCUUUAAUACUGCCAGUCUCGAGUCCGGAAGAGGUGAGUGGAACUCCUAGUGUAGAGGUGGAAUUCGUAGAUAUUAGGAAGAACACCAGUGGCGAAGGCGGCUCACUGGUCCGGUACUGACGCUGAGGUGCGAAAGCGUGGGGAGCAAACAGGAUUAGAUACCCGUGUAGUCC
RNAcentral lists this ribosomal RNA (425 nucleotides) under uncultured bacterium. Its description in RNAcentral is "partial 16S ribosomal RNA". It matches the Rfam family "Bacterial small subunit ribosomal RNA", at positions 354 to 796 of the family's 1533-position model. The record is from RNAcentral.